GAUGAACGCUGGCGGCGUGCUUAACACAUGCAAGUCGAGCGAAGCAGUUAAGAAGAUUCUUCGGAUGAUUCUUGACUGACUGAGCGGCGGACGGGUGAGUAACGCGUGGGUGACCUGCCCCAUACCGGGGGAUAACAGCUGGAAACGGCUGCUAAUACCGCAUAAGCGCACAGAGCUGCAUGGCUCGGUGUGAAAAACUCCGGUGGUAUGGGAUGGGCCCGCGUCUGAUUGGGCAGUUGGCGGGGGAACGGCCCACCAAACGGACGACCAGUAGCCGGCCUGAGAGGGCGACCGGCCACAUUGGGACUGAGACACGGCCCAAACUCCUACGGGAGGCAGCAGUGGGGAAUAUUGCACAAUGGGGGAAACCCUGAUGCAGCGACGCCGCGUGAGCGAAGAAGUAUUUCGGUAUGUAAAGCUCUAUCAGCAGGGAAGAUAAUGACGGUACCUGACUAAGAAGCACCGGCUAAAUACGUGCCAGCAGCCGCCGUAA
This 493-nucleotide ribosomal RNA is filed under the name uncultured bacterium. Its description in RNAcentral is "partial 16S ribosomal RNA". It matches the Rfam family "Bacterial small subunit ribosomal RNA", at positions 28 to 523 of the family's 1533-position model. The record is from RNAcentral.